UAGGGAAUAUUGCUCAAUGGGCGAGAGCCUGAACCAGCCAAGUCGCGUGAGGGAAGACGGCCCUAUGGGUUGUAAACCUCUUUUGCCGGGGAGCAAAGCGCCGCACGUGUGCGGCUUGGAGAGUACCCGGAGAAAAGCAACGGCUAACUACGUGCCAGCAGCCGCGGUAAUACGUAGGUUGCGAGCGUUGUCCGGAAUUACUGGGUGUAAAGGGCGUGUAGGCGGAGCUGCAAGUCAGAUGUGAAAUGUCAUGGCUCAACCAUGGAACUGCAUUUGAAACUGUGGCCCUUGAGUAUCGGAGAGGCAAGCGGAAUUCCUAGUGUAGCGGUGAAAUGCGUAGAUAUUAGGAGGAACACCAGUGGCGAAGGCGGCUUGCUGGACGACAACUGACGCUGAGGCGCGAAAAGCGUGGGGAGCAAACAGGAUUAGAUACC
RNAcentral lists this ribosomal RNA (434 nucleotides) under uncultured bacterium. RNAcentral describes it as "bacterial SSU rRNA". It matches the Rfam family "Bacterial small subunit ribosomal RNA", at positions 355 to 786 of the family's 1533-position model. The record is from RNAcentral.